AUGGAACCGGUCGUUCUCUCUUUCUCCUCUCCCGCGACCCCUUGUCUCGCCGUCUGGUGCGCCGCCGCCCCCUCGUCUCAGCCCCUCCCUCUCCGGUACACCGCCCCCUCGUCUCGCCGUCUAGUGCGCCGCCGCACCUCGUCUGGGCCCUCCCUCUCCGGGGAAGAAGAGGAGCACGUGCAGCCGGCGAGCAGCUGCGUGGCUGCAGUCAUGCAACGGGUUGCAGCGGGGCUACAUCAACGGCAGAGGGUCGCCCAGCACCUGGAUUUGCACCUGAUUUCGAUCAAGAGAGUGCUAACCUCGCUUCAGGAGGGCCAAUUGUUCAGAAUGUAA
This 333-nucleotide ribosomal RNA is filed under the name Triticum aestivum (bread wheat). Its description in RNAcentral is "partial small subunit ribosomal RNA". Lineage: Eukaryota; Viridiplantae; Streptophyta; Magnoliopsida; Poales; Poaceae. The record is from RNAcentral.